This 467-nucleotide ribosomal RNA is filed under the name uncultured bacterium. Its description in RNAcentral is "partial 16S ribosomal RNA". It matches the Rfam family "Bacterial small subunit ribosomal RNA", at positions 28 to 507 of the family's 1533-position model. The record is from RNAcentral.
GACGAACGCUGGCGGCGUGCUUAACACAUGCAAGUCGAACGGAAAGGCCCUGCUUUUGUGGGGUGCUCGAGUGGCGAACGGGUGAGUAACACGUGAGUAACCUGCCCUUGACUUUGGGAUAACUUCAGGAAACUGGGGCUAAUACCGGAUAGGAGCUCCUGCUGCAUGGUGGGGGUUGGAAAGUUUCGGCGGUUGGGGAUGGACUCGCGGCUUAUCAGCUUGUUGGUGGGGUAGUGGCUUACCAAGGCUUGGACGGGUAGCCGGCCUGGGAGGUGACCGGCCACAUUGGGACUGAGAUACGGCCCAGACUCCUACGGGAGGCAGCAGUGGGGAAUAUUGCACAAUGGGCGGAAGCCUGAUGCACCAACGCCGCGUGCGGGAUGACGGCCUUCGGGUUGUAAACCGCUUUCGCCUGUGACGAAGCGUGAGUGACGGUAAUGGGUAAAGAAGCACCGGCUAACUACGUG